This 69-nucleotide transfer RNA is filed under the name Hemidactylus bowringii. RNAcentral describes it as "tRNA-Glu". The record is from RNAcentral. Lineage: Eukaryota; Metazoa; Chordata; Lepidosauria; Squamata; Gekkonidae.
GUUUUUGUAGUUGAAUAACAGCGGUGGUUUUUCGGAUCACAGGUUCUGGUGUUAGGCCAGAUAAAAACA